This 346-nucleotide unclassified non-coding RNA is filed under the name soil metagenome. RNAcentral describes it as "partial contains 5.8S ribosomal RNA, internal transcribed spacer 2, and large subunit ribosomal RNA". The stretch from base 1 to 119 matches the Rfam family "5.8S ribosomal RNA", at positions 35 to 154 of the family's 154-position model. The record is from RNAcentral.
GAUGAAGAACGCAGCGAAAUGCGAUACGUAAUGUGAAUUGCAAAUUCAGUGAAUCAUCGAGUCUUUGAACGCACAUUGCGCCCCCUGGUAUUCCGGGGGGCAUGCCUGUCCGAGCGUCAUUGCUGCCCUCAAGCACGGCUUGUGUGUUGGGCCCCGUCCUCCGAUCCCGGGGGACGGGCCCGAAAGGCAGCGGCGGCACCGCGUCCGGUCCUCGAGCGUAUGGGGCUUUGUCACCCGCUCUGUAGGCCCGGCCGGCGCUUGCCGAUCAACCCAAAUUUUUUAUCCAUGUUGACCUCGGAUCAGGUAGGGAUACCCGCUGAACUUAAGCAUAUCAAUAAGCGGAGGA